UAAGACUUGUGAUAUUCUAAAACACAUCUUCUGAAUGCAACCCAGAUACUUUAAUUAAGCUAAAGCCUC
This 69-nucleotide transfer RNA is filed under the name Leiocephalus schreibersii. Its description in RNAcentral is "tRNA-Ala". The record is from RNAcentral. Lineage: Eukaryota; Metazoa; Chordata; Lepidosauria; Squamata; Leiocephalidae.